AUGGGGGCUUCUGGUGUCUGGUUCGUCAUCGACGACAACCACCACGUGCUUCAGCUCACUGCUGCCGAGUCGAUUCCAAUAAUUGAGCGGCAGGCCGUAACCAACAAAAUAUCUUCAGGAAUGGCCUCGGCGGAGCACGGCAAGAAGCUGCGGAUCCUGCUCGUCCCCUUCUUCGCCACGAGCCACAUCGGCCCGCACGCCGACCUCGCCGUCCGCCUCGCCGCGGUCAGGCCUGACACCGUCGAGCCCACGAUCGCUGUCACCCCAGCCAAUGUCUCGGUUGCUCGAUCAGCACUCGACCGGCACGGCCCCGCGGCGAGCGCUGCCAUCAGGAUAGCCACCUACCCGUUCCCGGACGUGGACGGCCUGCCGCCGGGCGUCGAGAACCUCUCCGCCGCUGCCGCGGGCGACGCGUGGCGCAUCGACGCCGCUGCCAUGGAAGGGACGCUGACGCGCCCCCCUCAGGAGGCGCUCAUCAGGGAGCGGUCCCCCGACGCUGUUGUCACCGAUAUCCACUUUUUCUGGAUCUCCGUCAUCGCGGACGAGCUAGGCGUGCCGUGCAUCACGUUCAGCGUCAUGCCCCCCUUCUCAACCCUCGCCAUGCGCAAUAUCGCUGGCGCAAUCGACGGCCUCUCCGAUCAACAGGAGGUGGUCGUCCCUGGGUUUAGGCCCGAAGAUUCGGAUCCUAAGGACGGAGCUGCCGGAGUUCUUGAGACGCCAAGAGAGACACGACCGAUUCAGCCCGGUCUUGGCGGGGCAAGCCAGGUGCUUCGGCCUCGCCGUCAACACCUUCUUGGACAUGCAGCAGCAGUACUGUGA
RNAcentral lists this ribosomal RNA (819 nucleotides) under Triticum aestivum (bread wheat). Its description in RNAcentral is "partial small subunit ribosomal RNA". Lineage: Eukaryota; Viridiplantae; Streptophyta; Magnoliopsida; Poales; Poaceae. The record is from RNAcentral.